CAAUUUCCGGCCAGUCUAGUUGUUAUCGACGAUAUAACGUUACUACCACCAUGUCGCAGUUUUUUACUAGGUGUCUUCAGGACUUGCCUCAAAUUAAUAUUAAUGAUGUACAUCGAAUUGUGAAAUCAGCCUCCGAGACUCCAGCUAGCAAGAAUGAAAAGGGGUUCAAGAUGUAUAUAGGAAGCUACAUAGACAACCAUGAAGUAUCCAACAAAGAUGCAUUGGCAGGGGAGAUCACCGUGAGGGCUGCCUGCCACAGGUCCAUGAGGAAGAGUGAAAAGCCGCACAGCAUGAGAGAAGUGCUCUGUGCCAUCAUCAGCCCUUCUUUACCAGACAGCGCACUACUCUCAACUAAACAUUCCUGCUGCACCACCAGUUCACAGCUGCACAGACACAGAACAGCGUUGGCACAAGCCAAGAACACUUGUGAGUAUAUCAAUAUCCAUUAAAAAAUGCACCUGAAAAGUAUUCAGCCUAUGAGACGGUAAAUCCAUGUUAAUUAGAGUGUGAAGCCAGGUCCGGUUGAUGGGAUAGAGUCCCGUAAACCUACUAACUCGUGUGCUGAUGGAAUAAGGUACGUUGGAGGUUCCUAGAAUGGUAACAUUUUAGAAAACAUUUUCUUGUGAUUGUAUCCAGAUGAUAAGCCUAAACAGUGGCGUCUUUACGAUGUAAUGACAAAUGUUUGGGACAAAGACUGGGGCGAAAUAUAUAAUCUAUAAAUCUGUAUAUUUUAAUUCAUUUUAUUUGAACUUUCGGGCUUGUGCUGUUUCUGGAAAAAUUACAUGAGUCUUUGUCAUAGUAAUCUCUCCAACCUGAUGUUAAGGUUUUAAAAUGUUUUGCAGAAGUUCUCUCUACAAAACACUCAAUGGAUACAUGCCUGACACCUUCUCUGCGUCUCAGAAACGUAUGCCAACUUUUAUCCACUUACUGCACCUCUUGUGACAACAAAUGUCAGCUGACGUGCCCCUGGUUGAGUCCGCCUUUGGGCCAGUGCAAUGUGGCAGUGUUCUGUCCUAUCAGCUUCCAUAGCCAAAGACCUGUGAAAUUGCCGAUGCUCCUUCUCCACCAAUACUUCCAUUGGAUGGCUACAGGCUUCCCAGUGUGCUUACGUCCUUAGCCAUCAGGAGCAGUUCUACCUCAAGGCAUUAGAGAAAACCUACGAGAUGUCACACAAAGUCGAGGUUGCUACAAGGGAGCAGAGCAGCAGCCCGGAAUGGCAUCAGCUCAGGAAAAUGAGAAUAACAUCCUCUCGUUUCCGAGAGGUUUGCCAUGUCCGGGGAGAGACCUCAGCUGACCACCUAGCUGAGCGGAUGUUCAAGGGAUCUGGUAUGCAGACCAUGGAUAUGAAGAGGGGGCUAGCCAUGGAGCCAGUGGCUGUACAGGGAUCUGGUAUGCAGACCAUGGAUAGGAAGAGGGGGCUAGCCAUGGAGCCAGUGGCUGUACAGGGAUCUGGUAUGCAGACCAUGGAUAUGAAGAGGGGGCUAGCCAUGGAGCCAGUGGCUGUACAGGGAUCUGGUAUGCAGACCAUGGAUAUGAAGAGGGGGCUAGCCAUGGAGCCAGUGGCUGUACAGGGAUCUGGUAUGCAGACCAUGGAUAGGAAGAGGGGGCUAGCCAUGGAGCCAGUGGCUGUACAGGGAUCUGGUAUGCAGACCAUGGAGAUGAAGGGGGCUAGCCAUGGAGCCAGUGGCUGUACAGGGAUCUGGUAUGCAGACCAUGGAGAUGAAGAGGGGGCUAGCCGUGGAGCCAGUGGCUGUACAGGAGUACUGCACACAGAAGAAUGUUAACUUCUUUCCGUGUGGCUUCGUAGUGCACCCAGAUGCUCCGUGGUUAGGAUCCUCUCCAGAUGGCAUCAUAUUUGAUCCCAGUGUAAGACCACACUUUGGACUCUUAGAGGUCAAGUGCCCAAAUGUACCAUGUUAUUUUGACUGCCCUUUCCUGAAGAUACAGAAUGGAGAGCUGAAGUUGAAGAGAUGUCAUGCUUACUACUUGCAGGUGCCAGGUCAAAUCCUUCUCACAGGUUGUAGCUGGUGUGACUUUGUCAUCUGCGCACAGGAGGACAUCCUAGUUGAAAGGAUAUAUAAAGAUCUACAGGUUUCAAAAACUAUAAGAGAGAAGGUUGACCACUUUUAUUUUUACCACUACUUGCAGAAGUGUCUCUCGCACCUGAAUGGAUCCCCUGCAUGGGUGCCAAGUUCUUGUGAAGAAAUCUACAGUAGAAUAGAUUUGUUUAAAAAAAAUGUAUUUCAGCAAAUGUUCAACAGUUAAAUUAAUCAAUUACACAUCUCUAACAUUGUA
Oncorhynchus nerka (sockeye salmon) is the source of this 2295-nucleotide long non-coding RNA. RefSeq lists it as uncharacterized. The record is from RefSeq and is a predicted model, not a curated record. NCBI's taxonomy places the organism in Eukaryota, Metazoa, Chordata, Actinopteri, Salmoniformes, Salmonidae. The transcript is spliced from 3 exons.